GAGUAACGCGUGGGUAACCUGCCCUGUACACACGGAUAACAUACCGAAAGGUAUGCUAAUACGAGAUAAUAUGCUUUUAUCGCAUGGUAGAGGUAUCAAAGCUCCGGCGGUACAGGAUGGACCCGCGUCUGAUUAGCUAGUUGGUGAGGUAACGGCUCACCAAGGCGACGAUCAGUAGCCGACCUGAGAGGGUGAUCGGCCACAUUGGAACUGAGACACGGUCCAA
RNAcentral lists this ribosomal RNA (226 nucleotides) under uncultured Clostridiaceae bacterium. Its description in RNAcentral is "partial 16S ribosomal RNA". It matches the Rfam family "Bacterial small subunit ribosomal RNA", at positions 108 to 334 of the family's 1533-position model. The record is from RNAcentral. Lineage: Bacteria; Bacillati; Bacillota; Clostridia; Eubacteriales; Clostridiaceae.